UUUUGUCAAUUAAACAAUGAAUUACCGACCGCCGUUUCUACAAAUCAAAAUAGAAAUUAUUAUUUGUAUACGUGUUCAUGAACCAUUUUCCAAUAAAAUCCUUAAUAUUUGCAUAUUUAGUCCGACAAAGUAGAUAAUAUAUGUAUCGUCUGUUCAUGAGGAGUUGGUAUUUUUCAUAAUACGACUUGAUUAAUUUACUUGUGUUUUU
RNAcentral lists this long non-coding RNA (208 nucleotides) under Mytilus galloprovincialis (Mediterranean mussel). Lineage: Eukaryota; Metazoa; Mollusca; Bivalvia; Mytilida; Mytilidae. The record is from RNAcentral.